This is a long non-coding RNA of Trichosurus vulpecula (common brushtail), 592 nucleotides long. RefSeq lists it as uncharacterized. NCBI's taxonomy places the organism in Eukaryota, Metazoa, Chordata, Mammalia, Diprotodontia, Phalangeridae. The record is from RefSeq and is a predicted model, not a curated record. The transcript is spliced from 3 exons.
GAACCAGAGAAUCAAUAGACAGGGAAGACUCAGAAACACCAAAGAGUCUGAGAGACCUCAAGAGACUUAAAGACAGAUCCAGAGACCAAAUAGAGACUGCAAAAUAGGGACAUGAAGGGGACAUCAAGAGACAGAGACACAGCCCCGCAGAGACUCCGGGAGACAAAUUCUUGGAGUCUGGCAAGAAACAUUUAUUAAACUCCUACUAAGUGCCAGGCGCUGUACCAAACGAUGGAGAUUCAAAGAAAGGCAAAAGACAGUCCCUGGCCUCAAGGAGCUCCCAAUCUAGUGUGUGGGUGGGAACCAGAAGCAAACUAGUUAGGGAGUGAGUGCUUUUCAAGGUCCCAGCUCUGACACUUUGCGAUCCCCGGAGAGAGGCUGGCGCAGAGAAAUCGAGAAAGGCAAGCCUGGGGCCAGAAAGCCCCGGGCGUCCGCCGAGGCUGGAGAUGGACUACGUUUUCCAUAAUGCAUCGCAGUGCUUCGACUUCGGGCUGUGAGGAGCGGUGAAUGAUGCCCAGGGCAACGGGGGCGGGGCCUGGAGAGUAGAGACAGAGACAGAGGCAGAGACAGAGACACAGGCAGAGACAGAGAC